UAAGAAAAAGUGUGAAGCAUAUUAAAAUUUGAAUUUAAUGGAUAUUUCUUAA
This 52-nucleotide transfer RNA is filed under the name Sarcoptes scabiei. RNAcentral's name for it is "tRNA-Gln". Lineage: Eukaryota; Metazoa; Arthropoda; Arachnida; Sarcoptiformes; Sarcoptidae. The record is from RNAcentral.